This 253-nucleotide ribosomal RNA is filed under the name uncultured bacterium. RNAcentral describes it as "partial 16S ribosomal RNA". It matches the Rfam family "Bacterial small subunit ribosomal RNA", at positions 524 to 776 of the family's 1533-position model. The record is from RNAcentral.
GACAGAGGGUGCAAACGUUGCUCGGAAUUACUGGGCGUAAAGCGCGUGUAGGUGGAUUGGUGUGUCAGAUGUGAAAUCCCUGGGCUCAACCCAGGAACUGCACCUGAAACUAUCAGUCUUGAGUGGUGGAGAGGGAAGUGGAAUUCCUGGUGUAGAGGUGAAAUUCGUAGAUAUCAGGAGGAACACCAGUGGCGAAGGCGGCUUCCUGGACACCAACUGACGCUGAGACGCGAGAGCGUGGGGAGCGAACAGG